This 2774-nucleotide ribosomal RNA is filed under the name Escherichia coli. RNAcentral describes it as "bacterial LSU rRNA". It matches the Rfam family "Bacterial large subunit ribosomal RNA". Lineage: Bacteria; Pseudomonadati; Pseudomonadota; Gammaproteobacteria; Enterobacterales; Enterobacteriaceae. The record is from RNAcentral.
AGCGUACACGGUGGAUGCCCUGGCAGUCAGAGGCGAUGAAGGACGUGCUAAUCUGCGAUAAGCGUCGGUAAGGUGAUAUGAACCGUUAUAACCGGCGAUUUCCGAAUGGGGAAACCCAGUGUGAUUCGUCACACUAUCAUUAACUGAAUCCAUAGGUUAAUGAGGCGAACCGGGGGAACUGAAACAUCUAAGUACCCCGAGGAAAAGAAAUCAACCGAGAUUCCCCCAGUAGCGGCGAGCGAACGGGGAGCAGCCCAGAGCCUGAAUCAGUGUGUGUGUUAGUGGAAGCGUCUGGAAAGGCGCGCGAUACAGGGUGACAGCCCCGUACACAAAAAUGCACAUGCUGUGAGCUCGAUGAGUAGGGCGGGACACGUGGUAUCCUGUCUGAAUAUGGGGGGACCAUCCUCCAAGGCUAAAUACUCCUGACUGACCGAUAGUGAACCAGUACCGUGAGGGAAAGGCGAAAAGAACCCCGGCGAGGGGAGUGAAAAAGAACCUGAAACCGUGUACGUACAAGCAGUGGAAGCCUCUUUAUGGGGUGACUGCGUACCUUUUGUAUAAUGGGUCAGCGACUUAUAUUCUGUAGCAAGGUUAACCGAAUAGGGGAGCCGAAGGGAAACCGAGUCUUAACUGGGCGUUAAGUUGCAGGGUAUAGACCCGAAACCCGGUGAUCUAGCCAUGGGCAGGUUGAAGGUUGGGUAACACUAACUGGAGGACCGAACCGACUAAUGUUGAAAAAUUAGCGGAUGACUUGUGGCUGGGGGUGAAAGGCCAAUCAAACCGGGAGAUAGCUGGUUCUCCCCGAAAGCUAUUUAGGUAGCGCCUCGUGAAUUCAUCUCCGGGGGUAGAGCACUGUUUCGGCAAGGGGGUCAUCCCGACUUACCAACCCGAUGCAAACUGCGAAUACCGGAGAAUGUUAUCACGGGAGACACACGGCGGGUGCUAACGUCCGUCGUGAAGAGGGAAACAACCCAGACCGCCAGCUAAGGUCCCAAAGUCAUGGUUAAGUGGGAAACGAUGUGGGAAGGCCCAGACAGCCAGGAUGUUGGCUUAGAAGCAGCCAUCAUUUAAAGAAAGCGUAAUAGCUCACUGGUCGAGUCGGCCUGCGCGGAAGAUGUAACGGGGCUAAACCAUGCACCGAAGCUGCGGCAGCGACGCUUAUGCGUUGUUGGGUAGGGGAGCGUUCUGUAAGCCUGUGAAGGUGUGCUGUGAGGCAUGCUGGAGGUAUCAGAAGUGCGAAUGCUGACAUAAGUAACGAUAAAGCGGGUGAAAAGCCCGCUCGCCGGAAGACCAAGGGUUCCUGUCCAACGUUAAUCGGGGCAGGGUGAGUCGACCCCUAAGGCGAGGCCGAAAGGCGUAGUCGAUGGGAAACAGGUUAAUAUUCCUGUACUUGGUGUUACUGCGAAGGGGGGACGGAGAAGGCUAUGUUGGCCGGGCGACGGUUGUCCCGGUUUAAGCGUGUAGGCUGGUUUUCCAGGCAAAUCCGGAAAAUCAAGGCUGAGGCGUGAUGACGAGGCACUACGGUGCUGAAGCAACAAAUGCCCUGCUUCCAGGAAAAGCCUCUAAGCAUCAGGUAACAUCAAAUCGUACCCCAAACCGACACAGGUGGUCAGGUAGAGAAUACCAAGGCGCUUGAGAGAACUCGGGUGAAGGAACUAGGCAAAAUGGUGCCGUAACUUCGGGAGAAGGCACGCUGAUAUGUAGGUGAGGUCCCUCGCGGAUGGAGCUGAAAUCAGUCGAAGAUACCAGCUGGCUGCAACUGUUUAUUAAAAACACAGCACUGUGCAAACACGAAAGUGGACGUAUACGGUGUGACGCCUGCCCGGUGCCGGAAGGUUAAUUGAUGGGGUUAGCGGUAACGCGAAGCUCUUGAUCGAAGCCCCGGUAAACGGCGGCCGUAACUAUAACGGUCCUAAGGUAGCGAAAUUCCUUGUCGGGUAAGUUCCGACCUGCACGAAUGGCGUAAUGAUGGCCAGGCUGUCUCCACCCGAGACUCAGUGAAAUUGAACUCGCUGUGAAGAUGCAGUGUACCCGCGGCAAGACGGAAAGACCCCGUGAACCUUUACUAUAGCUUGACACUGAACAUUGAGCCUUGAUGUGUAGGAUAGGUGGGAGGCUUUGAAGUGUGGACGCCAGUCUGCAUGGAGCCGACCUUGAAAUACCACCCUUUAAUGUUUGAUGUUCUAACGUUGACCCGUAAUCCGGGUUGCGGACAGUGUCUGGUGGGUAGUUUGACUGGGGCGGUCUCCUCCUAAAGAGUAACGGAGGAGCACGAAGGUUGGCUAAUCCUGGUCGGACAUCAGGAGGUUAGUGCAAUGGCAUAAGCCAGCUUGACUGCGAGCGUGACGGCGCGAGCAGGUGCGAAAGCAGGUCAUAGUGAUCCGGUGGUUCUGAAUGGAAGGGCCAUCGCUCAACGGAUAAAAGGUACUCCGGGGAUAACAGGCUGAUACCGCCCAAGAGUUCAUAUCGACGGCGGUGUUUGGCACCUCGAUGUCGGCUCAUCACAUCCUGGGGCUGAAGUAGGUCCCAAGGGUAUGGCUGUUCGCCAUUUAAAGUGGUACGCGAGCUGGGUUUAGAACGUCGUGAGACAGUUCGGUCCCUAUCUGCCGUGGGCGCUGGAGAACUGAGGGGGGCUGCUCCUAGUACGAGAGGACCGGAGUGGACGCAUCACUGGUGUUCGGGUUGUCAUGCCAAUGGCACUGCCCGGUAGCUAAAUGCGGAAGAGAUAAGUGCUGAAAGCAUCUAAGCACGAAACUUGCCCCGAGAUGAGUUCU